Molecule: ribosomal RNA, 466 nt
Filed under: Vreelandella stevensii
Lineage: Bacteria; Pseudomonadati; Pseudomonadota; Gammaproteobacteria; Oceanospirillales; Halomonadaceae
Description: partial 16S ribosomal RNA
Rfam family: Bacterial small subunit ribosomal RNA
Source: RNAcentral
CCUACGGGGGGCUGCAGUGGGGAAUAUUGGACAAUGGGGGGAACCCUGAUCCAGCCAUGCCGCGUGUGUGAAGAAGGCCCUCGGGUUGUAAAGCACUUUCAGUGAGGAAGAACGCCUGGUGGUUAAUACCCAUCAGGAAAGACAUCACUCACAGAAGAAGCACCGGCUAACUCCGUGCCAGCAGCCGCGGUAAUACGGAGGGUGCGAGCGUUAAUCGGAAUUACUGGGCGUAAAGCGCGCGUAGGUGGCUUGAUAAGCCGGUUGUGAAAGCCCCGGGCUCAACCUGGGAACGGCAUCCGGAACUGUCAAGCUAGAGUGCAGGAGAGGAAGGUAGAAUUCCCGGUGUAGCGGUGAAAUGCGUAGAGAUCGGGAGGAAUACCAGGGGCGAAGGCGGCCUUCUGGACUGACACUGACACUGAGGUGCGAAAGCGUGGGUAGCAAACAGGAUUAGAUACCCCGGGUAGUC